CCCAGACAGAAGCAUGGAUGGAUGCUCCUGAGGAUCCAGAUGGGACAAGACUCUGUUGGGGAUCCGACUAGGGAACAUUUGUACUGCAUUCUGACAAUUCUUUGUCUAAAUUCUACCCACGCCCUGAAAAUUUGAGUGAGGAUGAACAUAAAGGGAGAAGUCAAACUGGUGCCUCACUAGAAGCUUCACACCUACUGGGUAGUAUUCAUGGUUCUGUGUGGUGCUCAGCAUGCUCCUGGAAGAGAAAGGUCUUACAAGUCUACACAGAAGAGGAGCAGAAAGAUUGCAAGAGCCAGACGUGAUGAAUGACUC
This is a long non-coding RNA of Peromyscus leucopus (white-footed mouse), 312 nucleotides long. RefSeq lists it as uncharacterized. The record is from RefSeq and is a predicted model, not a curated record. The transcript is spliced from 3 exons. NCBI's taxonomy places the organism in Eukaryota, Metazoa, Chordata, Mammalia, Rodentia, Cricetidae.